This 466-nucleotide ribosomal RNA is filed under the name uncultured bacterium. RNAcentral describes it as "bacterial SSU rRNA". It matches the Rfam family "Bacterial small subunit ribosomal RNA", at positions 338 to 795 of the family's 1533-position model. The record is from RNAcentral.
CCUACGGGUGGCAGCAGUGGGGAAUAUUGCGCAAUGGGCGAAAGCCUGACGCAGCGACGCCGCGUGAGGGAUGAAGGCCUUCGGGUCGUAAACCUCUGUCAGGAGGGAAGAAACCUGGUUGGGCGAACAGGCCAAUCAGCUGACGGUACCUCCGGAGGAAGCACCGGCUAAUUCCGUGCCAGCAGCCGCGGUAAUACGGAAGGUGCAAGCGUUAAUCGGAAUCACUGGGCGUAAAGCGCACGUAGGCCGUCUCGUAAGUCGGGCGUGAAAGCCCUCGGCUCAACCGGGGAAUUGCGCUCGAUACUGCGAGACUUGAGUCCUGGAGAGGGUGGCGGAAUUCCCGGUGUAGGAGUGAAAUCCGUAGAUAUCGGGAGGAACACCAGUGGCGAAGGCGGCCACCUGGACAGGUACUGACGCUGAGGUGCGAAAGCGUGGGGAUCAAACAGGAUUAGAUACCCUAGUAGUC